RNAcentral lists this ribosomal RNA (253 nucleotides) under uncultured bacterium. Its description in RNAcentral is "partial 16S ribosomal RNA". It matches the Rfam family "Bacterial small subunit ribosomal RNA", at positions 524 to 776 of the family's 1533-position model. The record is from RNAcentral.
UACGGAGGGGGCUAGCGUUGUUCGGAAUUACUGGGCGUAAAGCGUGCGUAGGCGGCUUAUUAAGUCAGAGGUGAAAGCCCGGGGCUCAACUCCGGAAUUGCCUUUGAAACUGGUAGGCUUGAACAUGGGAGAGGUAAGUGGAAUUCCGAGUGUAGAGGUGAAAUUCGUAGAUAUUCGGAGGAACACCAGUGGCGAAGGCGGCUUACUGGACCAUUGUUGACGCUGAGGCACGAAAGCGUGGGGAGCAAACAGG